AUGCCACUUCUCUAUUUCGUCAACGGUCAGAAAGGACUGAAUCAACAGCUGCAGCCAAAGCACAAACUUCCUCAUUCAGCUUUCAUGAAUUACAACGUUAGAAGACUCGCAAUUUAUGAUUCUAAGCACUAUUUGGACACGAGGGACAGCAGCAUCCAACUAGAACUCAAAAAGCCUGCAGUCUUUCCAGUGCUGAGAUGUUGAAUCAUGAGGAUGAUUUGUAGAACACAUUCCUGUGAACAAAAGCAGCACCUGGAGGCAGAAACAUUACAGCCACAAAGGCAAGUCUGUACUGUACUAUUUCGCAAGUUAUGACGUUAACCUCCAAAUAAGGCAACUGAAUCGGAGAGGUGGAACUGGAAGCCAAUGUCAACAUUAAGGGCUCCAAUUGGUUAUUUAAAUAGCAAACCACAUGAAAAAUGUUGCUGCCUGUUAAAAAACACAUUAUUGCCUGAGGUCUCAAAAAAAAGUAUGCAAUGAAUAUUAUUGGGCCAUUUAUCUAGGAGCUGUUUACUUGGAUUAGUAGCAUUUCUCCUGGGUCUCAAGCAGAAAUUUUUGGCAGCUCUGCUAGCUUGGCUUUUUUAAUUGUUAAUAUCAAAUUAAGCCUGUGAUUUCCUGUAUCCAAAAUAACUUUGGCAGGGCCCCUUGCAAAUUGGGGUUUGUGCAAGUAAGUGCUGCCUUGGACCUAAGGUACUGCACCAAAGACUGUUCACAAGGUAAUGCCAGGGAUUCCAAAUACCCAUUCCUAUUUACUUCAUAUGUUAGUAAACAUGGGCACAGCUCCUCCUCUGUUACGGACUCUGCUGUGCUAAAAGAAGUAUUUACAUGCAUGAAGAACUACAGAUGGGCAACGUUUGGGACUCCAGAUGUUGAUGAAUUAUAUUUCCAUCAAGCCUCUCCACUGAUUGGGCUGGAUAGGGCUGAAGACAUCAAGGGGGCCAUUAGCUCUCCAGUUCUAAGCUAAACAUGGCCUCUUUUAACUAGAGCUUCUCAGAUAUCCAUUCUGUACCUUCAGAGUUUUCCAGUGAAUGCUUGGUGAUCUCUCCUCUGAGUAGAGACAAGUUUGAAAACGGGGAACCAGGUUGGCUUUCAACAGGCUUGGUACAUGCUGUCAAAGCCAUCUUCAGCAGGGAGGUUACCCAGUACUGGCCAGAUCCAUGAUGCUAAAGAUAUUCUUCAUUCUUCAGCACUGGCAAUUUCCUGC
Molecule: long non-coding RNA, 1204 nt
Filed under: Pogona vitticeps (central bearded dragon)
Lineage: Eukaryota; Metazoa; Chordata; Lepidosauria; Squamata; Agamidae
Description: lncRNA (ENSPVIG00000020974.1)
Source: RNAcentral